RNAcentral lists this transfer RNA (72 nucleotides) under Camelus bactrianus (Bactrian camel). It matches the Rfam family "tRNA". Rfam says of the family: Transfer RNA (tRNA) molecules are approximately 80 nucleotides in length. Their secondary structure includes four short double-helical elements and three loops (D, anti-codon, and T loops). RNAcentral also lists the same sequence under 3 other names. The record is from Rfam by way of RNAcentral. Lineage: Eukaryota; Metazoa; Chordata; Mammalia; Artiodactyla; Camelidae.
GAGGGUAGAGCUCAGUGGUAGAGUGCCUGCUUAGUGUGCACUAUGUCCUGGGUUCAACUCCCAGGACCUCUA